Taeniopygia guttata (zebra finch) is the source of this 659-nucleotide non-coding RNA. Lineage: Eukaryota; Metazoa; Chordata; Aves; Passeriformes; Estrildidae. The record is from RefSeq and is a predicted model, not a curated record.
CUCAGGGCCGCACCACCGCUCCUCGUGUCCCUCCGCGCCUCACGGCUUCGCGACCUCAAGCCGCAGCCGCAUUGCCGCCGUGCCUCGUGUCCCUCCACGGCUCCGGUCGCCGUCACUUUGCCCUCCCUGUCCCACCGCCAUCACAACAGGUAGCUGGUCACCCGUGUCCUGCCAGGAGCACAUUCCAGCGCCAGGGAUAUCCCAGGUGGAGGUGUCUGUGCUGGCAUGGUUCUGAGAUGGGCACGGCCUCUGCUGAGAGCUUUCCUCAGCACAGGGGAGAAUAAAUCACUAGGGAGUCCCUGAGACAAACUGUGUGGGAAGAGGAGGCUGCUGAACAGAAGUCUACUGGAGACAUCAAGAAGGAAGAAUUCCCAGCUUGGGAAGUAGGAGGGCCCUGAAGAGAGAUGAACCAGUGCAUGAUAAGAAACCAAGAGAGUGGGUGUUGGAAGCAGACUGUUAGCCAGCAACGACUGACAGCUGUAUAAAAUUCUGGAGACAGGAUGCUUGAGGACAGAAUGUCACCUGAAUGAGCUACUCCCUACACUAACCAGAAGGUGACUGGACAAUUUAUUGUGUACUUAUUGAAAGGAAGGCUAAAGAAUCAUUUUUGUUGGUGAGUCUUGCAACAAUGUUAUUAUGUACAAGCUCUAAGAGAAAAA